This 406-nucleotide ribosomal RNA is filed under the name uncultured bacterium. RNAcentral describes it as "partial 16S ribosomal RNA". It matches the Rfam family "Bacterial small subunit ribosomal RNA", at positions 30 to 526 of the family's 1533-position model. The record is from RNAcentral.
AUUGAACGCUGGCGGCAGGCCUAACACAUGCAAGUCGAGCGAGCGGCGGACGGGUGAGUAAUGUAUGGGAAUCUCCUCGAUAGAGGGGGAUAACUACUGGAAACGGUAGCUAAUACCGCAUACUAUCGGAUGAACCCAUAUGGGAUUAGCUAGUAGGUGGGGUAAAGGAUCACCUAGGCGACGAUCCCUAGCUGGUCUGAGAGGAUGAUCAGCCACACUGAGACUGAGACACGGUCCAGACUCCUACGGGAGGCAGCAGUGGGGAAUGUUGCACAAUGGGCGCAAGCCGGAUGCAGCCAUGCCGCGUGUGUGAAGAAGGCCUUCGGGUUGUAAAGUACUUUCAGCGGGGAGGCGUUACCCGCAGAAGAAGCACCGGCGAACUCCGUGCCAGCAGCCGCGGUAAUAC